This 598-nucleotide long non-coding RNA is filed under the name Homo sapiens (human). RNAcentral describes it as "HSALNT0021802". Lineage: Eukaryota; Metazoa; Chordata; Mammalia; Primates; Hominidae. The record is from RNAcentral.
CUGAUUUUGAAGUUUUGAUGAUUCCUGUAAGGUAGAAUAAAAAACAUCACCAAACUCAGCAAAUAACUUUCAAAGAAGAUAUCAUUAAUGAAUAAGUGAAGAGAAAAUGCUUGUAGAUAAAGUGGCUUGAUGUCCAGGAUGGGAAAACACUGGUAAAAAUUUCCCUGCUUAAAAGAGGAAAUCAUGUUCUUGAACUUGUAUUACUCAUCAAUGAAAUGCAUAGCUCUGAUAACAAAUACGAAGUAUCCUGAGCCUGCCAUCUAACACAUCCAUAGACAUGCUGUGAAAAAGGAAAGGAACAGCUAAUGGAUGUCUUGGAGCAUUUAUUGAGAGGGAGAAAAAAGAGAAAAGCAAUAUUCACUUUGAAAGUUGCAACUUUGAAAGGUGCUGCAUUACUAUGCUUUGUAAUCCUUACUUCUUCUCUUUCUUAGGUAGAAAUGGUUAUUUUAAGACUGGACUUAUACUGUGAGGUGAAAGUAAAAUAAGCCAAAAUUUUUCUAUGAGAAAAAAUUAAGUGAUGAUAAAACCAUUUGCAAAAGUAAAAUCUGAAAAUAUGAAUGUGUAAUUUAUACAUACAUGUAAAAUAUUCCAAUAUGUA